GAUGAACGCUGGCGGCGUGCCUAAUACAUGCAAGUCGAGCGAACAGACGAGGAGCUUGCUCCUCUGACGUUAGCGGCGGACGGGUGAGUAACACGUGGAUAACCUACCUAUAAGACUGGGAUAACUUCGGGAAACCGGAGCUAAUACCGGAUAAUAUAUUGAACCGCAUGGUUCAAUAGUGAAAGACGGUUUUGCUGUCACUUAUAGAUGGAUCCGCGCCGCAUUAGCUAGUUGGUAAGGUAACGGCUUACCAAGGCGACGAUGCGUAGCCGACCUGAGAGGGUGAUCGGCCACACUGGAACUGAAACACGGUCCAGACUCCUACGGGAGGCAACAGUAGGGAAUCUUCCGCGAUGGGCGAAAGCCUAACGGAGCAACGCCGCGUGAGUGAUGAAGGUCUUCGGAUCGUAAAACUCUGUUGUUAGGGGAGAACAAAUGUGUAAGUAACUAUGCACGUCUUGACGGUACCUAAUCAGAAAGCCACGGCUAACUACGUG
This 497-nucleotide ribosomal RNA is filed under the name uncultured bacterium. Its description in RNAcentral is "partial 16S ribosomal RNA". It matches the Rfam family "Bacterial small subunit ribosomal RNA", at positions 28 to 507 of the family's 1533-position model. The record is from RNAcentral.